This 402-nucleotide ribosomal RNA is filed under the name uncultured bacterium. RNAcentral's name for it is "bacterial SSU rRNA". It matches the Rfam family "Bacterial small subunit ribosomal RNA", at positions 358 to 775 of the family's 1533-position model. The record is from RNAcentral.
GGGAUAUUGGACAAUGGGGGGAACCCUGAUCCAGCGACCCCGCGUGAGUGAAGAAGUCUCUCGGUAUGUAAAGCUCUAUCAGCAGGGAAGAAGAAAUGACGGUACCUGAGUAAGAAGCCCCGGCUAACUACGUGCCAGCAGCCGCGGUAAUACGUAGGGGGCAAGCGUUAUCCGGAUUUACUGGGUGUAAAGGGAGCGUAGACGGCGGUGCAAGCCAGAUGUGAAAGCCCGGGGCUCAACCCCGGGACUGCAUUUGGAACUGUGCUGCUAGAGUGUCGGAGAGGCAGGCGGAAUUCCUAGUGUAGCGGUGAAAUGCGUAGAUAUUAGGAGGAACACCAGUGGCGAAGGCGGCCUGCUGGACGAUGACUGACGUUGAGGCUCGAAAGCGUGGGGAGCAAACAG